This 214-nucleotide ribosomal RNA is filed under the name Brevibacillus laterosporus. Its description in RNAcentral is "partial 23S ribosomal RNA". It matches the Rfam family "Bacterial large subunit ribosomal RNA", at positions 2713 to 2925 of the family's 2925-position model. The record is from RNAcentral. Lineage: Bacteria; Bacillati; Bacillota; Bacilli; Caryophanales; Paenibacillaceae.
UGCACCAGUUGUCACGCCAGUGGCACAGCUGGGUAGCUAUGUGCGGACGGGAUAAGCGCUGAAAGCAUCUAAGCGUGAAGCCCCCUUCAAGAUGAGACUUCCCAUAGCGCAAGCUAGUAAGACCCCUUAUAGACGAUGAGGUUGAUAGGUUCGGUGUGGAAGUGCAGUAAUGCAUGGAGCUGACGAAUACUAAUCGGUCGAGGACUUAUCCACA